CCUCUUUCUUGCGGAUAACGAAGACCAAAUACAGAACAUCCAACUUCAGCUAACGUAGCCAACCGCAGCUCCAAUAUGACAAAUCACGAAGAAUUCAGGCUAAAGGAGACACAGAAAAAGAAGGUAAUAACUGGACUUCAACUGUAUGUGCAUAACUAUAACAAAUAACACAGUACGUCAAACUCAAACUCUACACCCCCAAAUACGGUGAGACAGCUAUAAGGAACAUAAAUGUAACCCCAAUAUAUAGAAAACGUCAGAUACAACACAUACAAUCAAAACAUCUAAUAGCGAAUAUAUCAUACUUACCCACCAUACCAGCCAAUGCCCAACCCCAACCGGG
RNAcentral lists this long non-coding RNA (343 nucleotides) under Pelobates cultripes (western spadefoot toad). The record is from RNAcentral. Lineage: Eukaryota; Metazoa; Chordata; Amphibia; Anura; Pelobatidae.